Non-coding RNA from Camillea tinctor, 99 nucleotides. The record is from the annotation of a GenBank genome assembly. NCBI's taxonomy places the organism in Eukaryota, Fungi, Ascomycota, Sordariomycetes, Xylariales, Graphostromataceae.
GCCCGGGUAGCUCAAUUGGCUAGAGCGUCGGACUUUUACUCUAAUCUCAUGGAUCAAAGUCCAAUCCGAAGGCUGGGGGUUCGAGACCCCCCUCGGGCG